RNAcentral lists this ribosomal RNA (232 nucleotides) under uncultured bacterium. Its description in RNAcentral is "partial 16S ribosomal RNA". It matches the Rfam family "Bacterial small subunit ribosomal RNA", at positions 100 to 334 of the family's 1533-position model. The record is from RNAcentral.
CGGGACGGGUGAGUAAUGUCUGGGAAACUGCCUGAUGAGGGGGAUAACUACUGGAAACGGUAGCUAAUACCGCAUAACGUCGCAAGACCAAAGAGGGGGACCUUCGGGCCUCCUGCCAUCGGAUGUGCCCAGAUGGGAUUAGCUAGUAGGUGGGGUAACGGCUCACCUAGGCGACGAUCCCUAGCUGGUCUGAGAGGAUGACCAGCCACACUGGAACUGAGACACGGUCCAG